CCCUUAGAUGUUCUGGGCCGCACGCGCGCUACACUGAUUCAUGCAACAAGUUUUGUCCUUGGCUGAUAGGCCUGGGUAAUCUUUGAACGUGAAUCGUGAUGGGGAUAGAUGAUUGCAAUUAUUCAUCUUCAACGAGGAAUUCCUAGUAAACGCAAGUCAUCAGCUUGCAUUGAUUACGUCCCUGCCCUUUGUACACACCGCCCGUCGCACCUACCGAUUGAAUGGUCCGGUGAAAUCUUCGGAUCUGAGAGAUGUCUGAUUAAUUUCGGACGCCUUUUGGAAAAGUUGCUUAAACCUUNCNAUUUAGNGGAAGGUGAANUCGUANCA
This 327-nucleotide ribosomal RNA is filed under the name uncultured eukaryote. Its description in RNAcentral is "partial 18S ribosomal RNA". It matches the Rfam family "Eukaryotic small subunit ribosomal RNA", at positions 1470 to 1796 of the family's 1831-position model. The record is from RNAcentral.